This 378-nucleotide ribosomal RNA is filed under the name uncultured bacterium. Its description in RNAcentral is "bacterial SSU rRNA". It matches the Rfam family "Bacterial small subunit ribosomal RNA", at positions 790 to 1167 of the family's 1533-position model. The record is from RNAcentral.
GUAGUCCACGCCCUAAACGAUGGAUACUAGACGUUGGGGAGCCUAAUCUCCUCGGUGUCGUAGCUAACGCAUUAAGUAUCCCGCCUGGGAAGUACGGUCGCAAGAUUAAAACUCAAAGGAAUUGACGGGGGCCCGCACAAGCGGUGGAACAUGUGGUUUAAUUCGAUGCUACGCGAAAAACCUUACCUAGACUUGACAUCCCGCGCUACCCUGGGAAACCAGGGGUUCCCUUCGGGGACGCGGUGACAGGUGCUGCAUGGCUGUCGUCAGCUCGUGUUGUGAGAUGUUGGGUUAAGUCCCGCAACGAGCGCAACCCUCGCCCUUAGUUACCAGCAUUCAGUUGGGCACUCUAAGGGGACCGCUUGGCUAUAAGCCAGA